Molecule: ribosomal RNA, 498 nt
Filed under: uncultured bacterium
Lineage: Bacteria
Description: partial 16S ribosomal RNA
Rfam family: Bacterial small subunit ribosomal RNA
Source: RNAcentral
GACGAACGCUGGCGGCGUGCCUAAUACAUGCAAGUCGAGCGGACGAAUCGAAAGCUUGCUUUUGAUUCGUUAGCGGCGGACGGGUGAGUAACACGUGGGCAACCUGCCCUGUAGACGGGGAUAACACCGAGAAAUCGGUGCUAAUACCGGAUAACACGAAAUGUCGCAUGACGUUUCGUUGAAAGACGGCGCAAGCUGCCGCUACAGGAUGGGCCCGCGGCGCAUUAGCUAGUUGGUGAGGUAACGGCUCACCAAGGCGACGAUACGUAGCCGACCUGAGAGGGUGAUCGGCCACACUGGGACUGAGACACGGCCCAGACUCCUACGGGAGGCAGCAGUAGGGAAUCUUCCGCAAUGGACGAAAGUCUGACGGAGCAACGCCGCGUGAGCGAAGAAGGCCUUCGGGUCGUAAAGCUCUGUUGUUAGGGAAGAACAAGUAACGCAGUAACUGGCGUUACCGUGACGGUACCUAACGAGAAAGUCACGGCUAACUACGUG